This 253-nucleotide ribosomal RNA is filed under the name uncultured bacterium. RNAcentral's name for it is "partial 16S ribosomal RNA". It matches the Rfam family "Bacterial small subunit ribosomal RNA", at positions 524 to 776 of the family's 1533-position model. The record is from RNAcentral.
UACGAAGGGGGCUAGCGUUGUUCGGAAUUACUGGGCGUAAAGGGCGCGUAGGUGGCUUGGCAAGUUGGGUGUGAAAGCCCAGGGCUCAACCCUGGAAUUGCACUCAAGACUGCUUUGCUUGGAUUCGGUAGAGGUUGGUGGAAUUCCCAGUGUAGAGGUGAAAUACGUAGAGAUUGGGAAGAACACCAGUGGCGAAGGCGGCUAUCUGGACGGUUUCUGACACUAAGACUCGAAAGCGUGGGGAGCAAACAGG